This 200-nucleotide ribosomal RNA is filed under the name uncultured bacterium. RNAcentral's name for it is "partial 16S ribosomal RNA". It matches the Rfam family "Bacterial small subunit ribosomal RNA", at positions 28 to 229 of the family's 1533-position model. The record is from RNAcentral.
GAUGAACGCUAGCGGCAGGCCUAAUACAUGCAAGUCGAGGGGUAGUGGUUGCUUGCAACCAUGAGACCGGCGCACGGGUGCGUAACGCGUAUGCAACCUACCUUCAUCUGGGGGAUAGCCCGGAGAAAUCCGGAUUAACACCGCAUAAAAUCACAGUACGGCAUCGUACAAUGAUCAAAUAUUUAUAGGAUGGAGAUGGG